RNAcentral lists this ribosomal RNA (253 nucleotides) under uncultured bacterium. RNAcentral's name for it is "partial 16S ribosomal RNA". It matches the Rfam family "Bacterial small subunit ribosomal RNA", at positions 524 to 776 of the family's 1533-position model. The record is from RNAcentral.
UACAGAGGGGGCAAGCGUUGUUCGGAAUUACUGGGCGUAAAGGGCGCGUAGGCGGCCUGCUAAGUCGAACGUGAAAUCCCCGGGCUCAACCCGGGAACUGCGUCCGAUACUGGCAGGCUUGAAUCCGGGAGAGGGAUGCGGAAUUCCAGGUGUAGCGGUGAAAUGCGUAGAUAUCUGGAGGAACACCGGUGGCGAAGGCGGCAUCCUGGACCGGCAUUGACGCUGAGGCGCGAAAGCUAGGGGAGCAAACGGG